This 219-nucleotide unclassified non-coding RNA is filed under the name uncultured Rhizophydium. Its description in RNAcentral is "sequence contains ITS1". The record is from RNAcentral. Lineage: Eukaryota; Fungi; Chytridiomycota; Chytridiomycetes; Rhizophydiales; Rhizophydiaceae.
CGAAUCAAACCUCUGCCCGUCGCGCCGGCCGUUCGGCCGCGCCUCGCGGUGGACAAACACCCAUGUGCACCUUUGACGUCUUUUGGCGGUCCCCUCGUAGUCUCGCGCGAGCGAGGCGUCGUUGUGCGUGUUGGUAACUCUCCGCGCUCUUGGGCCGCCAGCAGUUGACAAACACCUAGUAUUUUUUUUGCCUGAAACCAAAUGAGAAGCAAUGAGAAA